AAUUUCAAUAUGAUUUGAGUGGCUGACAUUUCCUAUUACAAUAUCGAAUAAUAAUGAAAUUAAGUCCAAAUCCACCGUACUUCACGGAAAAUUAACUAAACUAAUUUCAAUUUUUAAACUCGACGAAAAUUUUAUAUUAAUUUUUCAAUUAUAGAGUGAGCAUUUAUUAAAUUGAAUUAAAUAAAUUAAAAUUUAAAAUUUUAAUAUUUAUAGAAGUUAAUUUAAAUCGAUUUUAAUUAAAAAUUAAUUUAAUUUAAUUUAAUUUAAUCAAUUUAAAUUUUUAUUUUUUAUAUUUUAUUUUUAAUAUUUUAAAAUGUAAUUAAAAUAUUUUUAUUUUAAUUAUGAUAAAAUAUUUUUAUAUUAUUAAAAAAUAAUAUAUUAUUAUUAUUAAUGAGUUUAAUUUAUUUUUUUAAUUUAAAAUUAAAUUAAAUUUAAAUAAUUAAAUUUUUUUAAAUUAAAAAUUAAAUUGAAUUAAAAUAAAUAAAAAAUUAAAUUAAAUUUCUAAAUUAAUUUAAUUUGAUGAAUUUUUUUGUAAACUGAAUAGUGUGACCCCUAAUUAUACAGCUCCUUCGUAAAACCAAGAAAUAUGAAACUCUAUCUUUGACAUUGGGCCCAAGAAAUUACAAUUCCAUAACUCAAUUUACAUGAAAAAUAAUAUUACUCAUAUGAAUUUAAUAUAUAUAUAUAUAUAUACGUGUAAUUAAAAUUUAAAUGUUAAAUAAAUAAAAUAUUUAUUUUUUGAAUUUAAUAAUAAACAUAAUCAAGGAAUAAGGGCAGGGUAGCUAAGCUUCACCGAUAUAAAAUAGUAUUUUUUAAUAAAAACUAAAAUUUAAUUAUGAUAAUUUAAUAAAAUUUAUAUAUUACUGUCUAUAUAUAUUUUUUUUUGAAAUGGGACUGUCUAUAUUUUUAAAAGUAACUAUUUAGUUUUUAUAAAUUUUUAAAAGUAAUAAAUUAUUCUUUUAUAAUAUUGUUUAAUCAGAUUAAAUUGCUAUAAAUAUUUAAAUUUCAAGAAUUAAAAUUCUGAAAUGUAUAUAAUUAUAAGAACUGAAUUUUGAAUAAAAUAAAUGAAAUCUAUAUUCAAUACGGUAAGGAUUAAUUUUUUUUUAAUUACAAUAAAAUAUUUCAUUUUUAAAAUAUAGAAAUUAAAAUGUAAUUGACAUCCUAAUCCACGCUUGGGCAGAAUCAAAGGAAAUGGAUGAUAAACGGAUCCAUAGCACAAUAAAAAUGGGCCAGUUGGGUCACUGUCUCUGUGACUGUGGACUGUCCAUAUUGAAAUCCAGUCCAAGUGGGUCAAAUUUGAAGUUGCUUACAAUAAAAAAAUUAAAGUAUCGCAAAAUUUAAUUUGUAUAAUAUCAAUCUUUGAAAUUCAAACUAAUGGGUUUCUUUUUUUUUUUUGCUAACAAAAUUUUUUUUUCCCUUCAAUGUUUUUUGUUUGAUAAAACAAAGCAAAAGUUGUAAAGAAAAGUUAAUUUUUAAUAUAAUGAAAAUAAUGGAGUUUCCUCUCAACAUUAUGAAUGAAAAUUUCCAUUGAAAUGAUUAUAGAACAAAUUUAAAUUCUAUUCAUUUUUCAUGAGAAGAUAAUAAUGCAAGAAGAAAAAUUUAAAUAAUCAAAUGGGGCAUGUAUGAAAUAUUAGAUAAGAACUUACAACAAAAUUAAGAAGAAAUUAAUUAAGGAAGACAUUGUGGAUUGCCCAUCUAUGUGAUCAAACAUGCACCUUUAACAAUUAAUGAAGAACAUAUUUAUUAAAAAAAAGAAAAGGCUAAAGAAGGAAGUAGGAGAAAUCUAAUAUUUUGGGUAAUUUUAAUUAUUUUGAUAUUUCUAACCCUAAGAAAAAUAUGGGGGAAGGUGAAAGGAGAAAGA
RNAcentral lists this long non-coding RNA (1861 nucleotides) under Manihot esculenta (cassava). RNAcentral describes it as "long non-coding RNA (MESC_LNC005671)". The record is from RNAcentral. Lineage: Eukaryota; Viridiplantae; Streptophyta; Magnoliopsida; Malpighiales; Euphorbiaceae.